Molecule: transfer RNA, 71 nt
Filed under: Planctomycetota bacterium
Lineage: Bacteria; Pseudomonadati; Planctomycetota
Description: Planctomycetes bacterium (activated sludge metagenome) tRNA-Ile
Rfam family: tRNA
About the family: Transfer RNA (tRNA) molecules are approximately 80 nucleotides in length. Their secondary structure includes four short double-helical elements and three loops (D, anti-codon, and T loops).
Source: RNAcentral
GGCCCGGUGUUGUAACGGAAGCAUGUGGCUCUGAUAAGGCGGCAGCGGUGGUUCGACUCCACCUCGGGCCA